This 1486-nucleotide long non-coding RNA is filed under the name Chrysemys picta bellii (western painted turtle). RNAcentral describes it as "lncRNA (ENSCPBG00000011562.1)". The record is from RNAcentral. Lineage: Eukaryota; Metazoa; Chordata; Testudines; Emydidae.
GGGGCUUUGCCCACACUGCAGAAAUCUACAAAACAAUUCCCUCCGGCUGCACUGGGGAGCCUGGGUGGGGUUCCCGUUGCAAACCAGGCUGCAGCACCUGGCGGCGGAGAGGUUUUUGCAGGCCCGAUUAGAGCGCCGCCAACAACGGGGCGGGGGGCAGGAGCCUGGGCGAGAUGGGCUUGGCCGGACUCUGCGGCGCCUGCGAGAGGAGCCAGCGGGGAGCCGAGGGAGGCGAUUCCCCCGGGAGAGAGGGGCCCAGCCGGGGCCCAAGGCGGAGCCGCAGGGCGGAAGAAGGCUCAAGAGUCGCCCCUGCUCUGGUGCCCCCGCCCGCGUCUCCUAGCAACCACUUGGCAACAGAAUAGCCGGGCUGGGGCAGUGCAGCUGCCGCCUUCGGAGCGUCCCUCGUUGCCUCUGCGUGGCACCAUGCGGCAGACUCCAGAGGACAGCAGGCACUGCAGGAAGAAGGCGCCCCCGCACCAGCUGUAAGUGCUGCCUUUGCUGUGGGCUCUCUGGAUGUGCAAGGCCCAAGUUCUAAUCCUUGCAACCUCAGGGGGCCAGCCCUGAGGGACAGUCCCUGCAGAAACUUGGCCCUGAGUGGGUGCUGGAGGGGGUAGCACCUGGUCCUGUGCUAUUGGGUGUUGUCCUGCCAUGGGCUCAGGGCCCUGGGGACUGAGCCCUUGAUGACCUUCUGUCCCCAGGGCCUGAUGCUGCCAGCCUUUGCUCACCUGAGUAGCCACCAUUCCUGCAGUCUUCUGAUUGGGAGCCAAGUAUUCCUCAAAUAAGUAAAUACUUGUAGGAAUGGGAUCCAAGCUGAACUGCUUGAUCUUUCUAUCUCACUGCACCCUGUGCUAUGUGCCUACGAUCAUGUGUGUGCCUUGGGAGGCUGUAGACACAUAAUGCCACACUGGAUCAGACCAAGGGUCCAUCUAGCCCAGUAUCCUUCAGAGGAAAUGAAGAGAUCAUGAUCCAUCCUAUGUCAUCCAGUCCCAGCUUCUGGCAGUCAGGUUUAGAGACAUGCAUAGCAAAGGGCUGUGUCCCUGACCAUCUUGGUUAAUAGCUGUUGAUAGAUCUGUCCUUCAUGAACUUACCCAGUUCUUUUUUGAACCUAGUUAUACUUUUGGCCUUCACAACAACCCCUGGUGAUGAAUUUCACUGGUUAAUUAUGUGUGCGUGUGAAGAACUAGUUUGUUUUAAACCUGUUGCCUAUUAACUUCAUUAGGUGACCCCUGGUUCUUGUGUUAUGUGAAAGGGUAAACAACACUUCCCUAUUCACUUUCUCCACACCAUUCAUGAUUUUAUAGCUCUUUAUCAUAUCUCUCCUUAGUCAUUUCUUUUCCAAGCAAACAGUCCCAGUCUUUUUAAUCUCUCCUUAUAUGGAAGCUGUUCCAUAACCCUAAUCAUUUUUGUUGCCCCUCUCUGUACGUUUUCCAAUUCUAAUACAUCCUUUUUAAGAUGGUGCAACCAGAACUGCACAGAAUGUUCAAGG